AGCGAACGCUGGCGGCAGGCUUAACACAUGCAAGUCGAACGGGCAUCUUCGGAUUUCAUUGGCAGCCGGGUGGGUAACACGUGGGAACGUACCCUUCGGUUCGGAAUAACUCAGGGAAACUUGAUCUAAUACCGGAUACGCCCUUUUGGUGGAAGGUUUACUGGCGAAGGAUCGGCCCGCGUCUGAUUAGCUUGUGGGUGGGGUAACGGCCUACCAAGGCGACGAUCAGUAGCUGGUCUGAGAGGAUGAUCGGCCACGCUGGGACUGAGACACGGCCCAGACUCCUACGGGAGGCAGCAGUGGGGAAUAUUGGACAAUGGGGGCAAGCGUGAUCCAGCCAUGUCGCGUGAGUGAGGAAGGCCUUAGGGUUGUAAAGCUGUUUGGUACGGGACGAUAAUGACGGUACCGGAAGAAGAAGCCCCGGCUAACUUCGUG
This 435-nucleotide ribosomal RNA is filed under the name uncultured bacterium. RNAcentral describes it as "partial 16S ribosomal RNA". It matches the Rfam family "Bacterial small subunit ribosomal RNA", at positions 29 to 507 of the family's 1533-position model. The record is from RNAcentral.